UAAAACCAACUCCCUGAGUGGUGGGGAAGAUUAUUGGGCUUAAAGCGUUCGUAGCCGGCCUGAUUAGUCCCGCGUUAAAUCCAGCGACCUAAUCGUUGGGCUGCGGGGGAUACGGUCAGGCUUGGGAGCGGGAGAGGUUAGCGGUACUCUAGGGGUAGGGGUGAAAUCCAGUAAUCCCUGGGGGACCACCAGUGGCGAAGGCUGCUAACCAGAACGCGUCCGACGGUGAUGGACGAAAGCUGGGGGAGCGAACCGGAUUAGAUACCCGGGUAGUCCCAGCCGUAAACGAUGCGGGCUAGCUGUUGGGAUGGCUACGAGCCAUCUCAGUGGCGCAGGGAAACCGUUAAGCCCGCCGCCUGGGAAGUAUGAUCGCAAGAUUG
RNAcentral lists this ribosomal RNA (380 nucleotides) under uncultured archaeon. RNAcentral describes it as "bacterial SSU rRNA". It matches the Rfam family "Archaeal small subunit ribosomal RNA", at positions 471 to 851 of the family's 1478-position model. The record is from RNAcentral.